This 253-nucleotide ribosomal RNA is filed under the name uncultured bacterium. RNAcentral's name for it is "partial 16S ribosomal RNA". It matches the Rfam family "Bacterial small subunit ribosomal RNA", at positions 524 to 776 of the family's 1533-position model. The record is from RNAcentral.
UACGGAGGGAGCUAGCGUUGUUCGGAAUUACUGGGCGUAAAGCGCACGUCGGCGGCUUUGUAAGUUAGAGGUGAAAGCCCGGGGCUCAACUCCGGAACUGCCUUUAAGACUGCAUCGCUUGAAUCCAGGAGAGGUGAGUGGAAUUCCGAGUGUAGAGGUGAAAUUCGUAGAUAUUCGGAAGAACACCAGUGGCGAAGGCGGCUCACUGGACUGGUAUUGACGCUGAGGUGCGAAAGCGUGGGGAGCAAACAGG